AUUGAACGCUGGCGGCAUGCUUUACACAUGCAAGUCGAACGGUAACAGGCCGCAAGGUGCUGACGAGUGGCGAACGGGUGAGUAAUGCAUCGGAACGUGCCCAGUCGUGGGGGAUAACUACUCGAAAGAGUAGCUAAUACCGCAUACGAUCUAUGGAUGAACGCGGGGGACCGUAAGGCCUCGCGCGAUUGGAGCGGCCGAUGUCAGAUUAGGUAGUUGGUGGGGUAAAGGCUCACCAAGCCAACGAUCUGUAGCUGGUCUGAGAGGACGACCAGCCACACUGGGACUGAGACACGGCCCAGACUCCUACGGGAGGCAGCAGUGGGGAAUUUUGGACAAUGGGCGCAAGCCUGAUCCAGCAAUGCCGCGUGCAGGAAGAAGGCCUUCGGGUUGUAAACUGCUUUUGUACGGAACGAAACGGCUCUGGUUAAUACCCGGGGCUAAUGACGGUACCGUAAGAAUAAGCACCGGCUAACUACGU
RNAcentral lists this ribosomal RNA (481 nucleotides) under uncultured bacterium. RNAcentral describes it as "partial 16S ribosomal RNA". It matches the Rfam family "Bacterial small subunit ribosomal RNA", at positions 30 to 506 of the family's 1533-position model. The record is from RNAcentral.